Molecule: ribosomal RNA, 444 nt
Filed under: uncultured bacterium
Lineage: Bacteria
Description: bacterial SSU rRNA
Rfam family: Bacterial small subunit ribosomal RNA
Source: RNAcentral
GAUGAACGCUGGCGGCGUGCUUAACACAUGCAAGUCGAACGAAGCAAUCUAACGGAAGUUUUCGGAUGGAAGCUGGAUUGACUGAGUGGCGGACGGGUGAGUAACGCGUGGGUAACCUGCCUCACACUGGGGGACAACAGUUAGAAAUGACUGCUAAUACCGCAUAAGCGCACAGGACCGCAUGGUCCGGUGUGAAAAACUCCGGUGGUGUGAGAUGGACCCGCGUUUGAUUAGCUAGUUGGUGGGGUAACGGCCUACCAAGGCGACGAUCAAUAGCCGACCUGAGAGGGUGACCGGCCACAUUGGGACUGAGACACGGCCCAAACUCCUACGGGAGGCAGCAGUGGGGAAUAUUGCACAAUGGGGGAAACCCUGAUGCAGCGACGCCGCGUGAGUGAAGAAGUAUUUCGGUAUGUAAAGCUCUAUCAGCAGGGAAGAAAAUGA